GGGAUGCAAAGCCCAAAAAGUCGAUUUCUUGUGACCACCGUUAGACAACUACCUUAUAUUCUCAGAUAUUAUGUAUAAAUAUUAUAAAUGUCUUGUCUCAAACUCGACAAGCGUGAAAAUGGAACAUUUUUUAGUAAUUUGAAAAAAACCGAGAAAAAUAUUUAUUUUUUCAGCAUGAUCGUAAGCCAACCAGCUUGCGCGUUUCAUCCGAUUUGGAAGGGUGAAUCCUCUCUCGACCAAUCGCAUCACUCGUUGCAAAUCACCUUCACUGUACAAGAUGGACGCGUACAUGUCUUCAUCAUUGCGUCGGAAGCUGAUGAUUCUGAGGGGAAAACUUCUUUUUACUGUUUCAUGCACGCAAUCGAAACCCAUGAACGAGUUAUUCCCUUUUUAGAGAAAAACUUCAAUCAGUUUUUAGAGUGUUCCACCCUAUGGAAAGAGCUGAAGAAUCGUCCAGAAAGUGUCAUCGCAACCAAAGCAGACGAUGCAAUGAGUGACGAUGUAUGCACAACAACAAGAUAAUCUGCCAUUCUGCCUCCUUCAAUACUGAAGAUUCUUGCUGAUGCCAUAUAUAUACUUUGCCUGAUUGGGGUAUGCGGGUGGACCACUACACCGGGGUUUCCUCCUACUCUUAUACGAAUAGUGCAAUGGGUUCUUAACGUGCAAGGGUGUGACUUUCCUGUACACGGGGCCUCCAUUUAAAGUCCUAUCCGAGGGAUGGAUUGUUUUCCACUUAACAUAGCCUGUGUCUAUGAAACAAGGGGAAGGUCACGUUUACACACAACGCAGGCUUCAGUCAUCCGCCUGGGUGCAUGGGAUUCGAACCAGAGAUCUUUGGUUUGACAGGCAGACGCUUUACCGACUGAGCCAUCCAUCUCGCUUCCUAUAAUUCAUGUAUCACAAUCACUUGUGAUGCACUGCAAGAAUAGUAUGUCACUUGGUAGAUAAUUCUUAUAUUUUGAGUUGUAUUAACAUAUAUCUACAAUUCUACAUGUAUGUUUCAAAAUCCCUUGCGAUGAAGGCAGUAAGAAUAGUUUGUCAUUUUUCCAAUGACUCGUAAAAGUGGUAAAUUCUUAUAGGUUUU
Molecule: long non-coding RNA, 1084 nt
Organism: Strongylocentrotus purpuratus (purple sea urchin)
Lineage: Eukaryota; Metazoa; Echinodermata; Echinoidea; Camarodonta; Strongylocentrotidae
Exons: 2
Source: RefSeq, a predicted model, not a curated record